This 452-nucleotide ribosomal RNA is filed under the name uncultured bacterium. Its description in RNAcentral is "bacterial SSU rRNA". It matches the Rfam family "Bacterial small subunit ribosomal RNA", at positions 10 to 507 of the family's 1533-position model. The record is from RNAcentral.
AGUUUGAUCCUGGCUCAGAACGAACGCUGGCGGCAUGCCUAACACAUGCAAGUCGAACGAGACCUUCGGGUCUAGUGGCGCACGGGUGCGUAACGCGUGGGAAUCUGCCCUUGGGUUCGGAAUAACAGUUAGAAAUGACUGCUAAUACCGGAUAAUGUCUUCGGACCAAAGAUUUAUCGCCCAGGGAUGAGCCCGCGUAGGAUUAGCUAGUUGGUGAGGUAAAAGGCUCACCAAGGCGACGAUCCUUAGCUGGUCUGAGAGGAUGAUCAGCCACACUGGGACUGAGACACGGCCCAGACUCCUACGGGAGGCAGCAGUGGGGAAUAUUGGACAAUGGGCGAAAGCCUGAUCCAGCAAUGCCGCGUGAGUGAUGAAGGCCUUAGGGUUGUAAAGCUCUUUUACCCGGGAUGAUAAUGACAGUACCGGGAGAAUAAGCCCCGGCUAACUCCGUG